RNAcentral lists this ribosomal RNA (1343 nucleotides) under uncultured bacterium. Its description in RNAcentral is "16S ribosomal RNA". It matches the Rfam family "Bacterial small subunit ribosomal RNA", at positions 28 to 1378 of the family's 1533-position model. The record is from RNAcentral.
GACGAACGCUGGCGGCGUGCUUAACACAUGCAAGUCGAACGGAAAGGCCCUGCUUUUGUGGGGUGCUCGAGUGGCGAACGGGUGAGUAACACGUGAGUAACCUGCCCUUGACUUUGGGAUAACUUCAGGAAACUGGGGCUAAUACCGGAUAGGAGCUCCUGCUGCAUGGUGGGGGUUGGAAAGUUUCGGCGGUUGGGGAUGGACUCGCGGCUUAUCAGCUUGUUGGUGGGGUAGUGGCUUACCAAGGCUUUGACGGGUAGCCGGCCUGAGAGGGUGACCGGCCACAUUGGGACUGAGAUACGGCCCAGACUCCUACGGGAGGCAGCAGUGGGGAAUAUUGCACAAUGGGCGGAAGCCUGAUGCAGCAACGCCGCGUGCGGGAUGACGGCCUUCGGGUUGUAAACCGCUUUCGCCUGUGACGAAGCGUGAGUGACGGUAAUGGGUAAAGAAGCACCGGCUAACUACGUGCCAGCAGCCGCGGUGAUACGUAGGGUGCGAGCGUUGUCCGGAUUUAUUGGGCGUAAAGGGCUCGUAGGUGGUUGAUCGCGUCGGAAGUGUAAUCUUGGGGCUUAACCCUGAGCGUGCUUUCGAUACGGGUUGACUUGAGGAAGGUAGGGGAGAAUGGAAUUCCUGGUGGAGCGGUGGAAUGCGCAGAUAUCAGGAGGAACACCAGUGGCGAAGGCGGUUCUCUGGGCCUUUCCUGACGCUGAGGAGCGAAAGCGUGGGGAGCGAACAGGCUUAGAUACCCUGGUAGUCCACGCUGUAAACGGUGGGUACUAGGUGUGGGGUCCAUUCCACGGGUUCCGUGCCGUAGCUAACGCUUUAAGUACCCCGCCUGGGGAGUACGGCCGUAAGGCUAAAACUCAAAGGAAUUGACGGGGCCCCGCACAAGCGGCGGAGCAUGCGGAUUAAUUCGAUGCAACGCGUAGAACCUUACCUGGGUUUGACAUGGAUCGGGAGUGCUCAGAGAUGGGUGUGCCUCUUUUGGGGUCGGUUCACAGGUGGUGCAUGGCUGUCGUCAGCUCGUGUCGUGAGAUGUUGUGUUAAGUCCCGCAACGAGCGCAACCCUUGUUCACUGUUGCCAGCACGUUAUGGUGGGGACUCAGUGGAGACCGCCGGGGUCAACUCGGAGGAAGGUGGGGAUGACGUCAAGUCAUCAUGCCCCUUAUGUCCAGGGCUUCACGCAUGCUACAAUGGCUGGUACAGAGAGUGGCGAGCCUGUGAGGGUGAGCGAAUCUCGGAAAGCCGGUCUCAGUUCGGAUUGGGGUCUGCAACUCGACCUCAUGAAGUCGGAGUCGCUAGUAAUCGCAGAUCAGCAACGCUGCGGUGAAUACGUUCCCGGG